Molecule: long non-coding RNA, 3030 nt
Organism: Myotis myotis
Lineage: Eukaryota; Metazoa; Chordata; Mammalia; Chiroptera; Vespertilionidae
Exons: 3
Source: RefSeq, a predicted model, not a curated record
AUCGAUUUCCGGGCGGAGGGGCCGGCUUCUGGAAGUCGAAUCAAUCGCAGCACUUCUUCCCCUUCCUGCGAGCGGGAGCGGGGCCUCCGAACCCCGACCAGCACCAGAAAGGCAUCCCCACUGACGAGUUGACGUCAGAGAAAAUCUGUUCGCUGUCCCGAGCUUGAGAGCUCAGGGCACGCCAGGCAACAGGACAGAAGUGCAAGCAGGAUUGCUUUUAUGCCACAAAAAAUCUGUGUGUCCUUCCAUUGCUCAUCUCAAUGUACUAAAAAUCACAAAAGUAAAUAUGCAAACAUGCACAUUUUGAACAGAGCCCAUAGGAAAAGCCCCUACCAACCUCGGGCACAUCGAGGCAUCGCAAGGUGGUAUUGGCGGGUGAAUCCCUGCACACAGAGGUCACCUGGACUCUCAGCUUCCCUUGGACAUCACCCCCGAUACCACCCACACAACCCUUGAGGAAACCAUGGGCCCUCAAGUUAAACACGACAAAGCAGGAGAGAGAAAACAUCUGCCCUUAAGCUCGGCAAUGGAGAGCAGAGUGCCCGGCUGUGAGGGGAGGAGCGGCCACGCCGCCAAUCAUGGCGUCAGGGCUCUGAAGAAGCCAGAAGGCCUGAUAUUAGGGACCUCCAUGAGCUGGCACAGAGAGCCCUCCAGACACAGUGCCCGUGCCAUGACCGUGUUUGGAACCACUGGCUCUCCUUACAGGCCCACGGUUCUCAAACAUGUUCAAAUGGUAGAGCAUCGGGCACUCCUGUGGAACGUCAUGGAAUAUGGCUCCAUUAAGUGAAAAAGCAACCACGUGCUAUAAAAGUUGAUGCCAAGUCCCACAGCAUCUAAAUUAGAGUUGUACAGUAACAAGUGCCAAGAGGUGUAACUUUUAUGCAGAAACCCCUUAAUGCUGAGACAAUUCUAUUAACUUCCCCUGAAACCUGGAGGAGAGAGUGCCGUUCAGUUAGCUAUGAAACGUCUCCGCUCGGGAUGCCCUUGGCUGGAGCAGGGCCGUCCUGUCAGGUUUCCAUUAGUGCCUGCUGCACACUUGUCGGCAGAUCCCAAGAGCAGUGCUGUGGGGAAGCACCCGGAGAGCCCAGGCUCUACCCGCCUUUGAUCUGCAAUGGAGAAAUCCAAUCUACACACUACCACCGGCCUCCGGGGAGUCGGCCUGGGGUCGCCAGGUGGGCAGAGCGGCAAAAGUAGGAUUUCGGCAGCUCACGGUACCCGCUCUGUGGCCAAAGGCCUCGCCUUCCAAGCAGUGUCUGACCUCUCAACUCUGACAUAUGUAUUUACUCGGCAAUGACAGCUUGCACUCCCACAGGGACAGCUGGACCACUUCUAUCAAAGGGAAUAAGUGAAAGCUCGCCUGGAUCCCGUAGCAAAAAGUAGCCGCAGGAGCCUCUGCACUCAAACAAAGCUGCUCGUUCACCAGCAGCCGCUCUCCCGGGAGCCUUUGCUGCUUUGUAACCAGCACAGGAUGCUCCAGGCCCAAAUGACAGGAGCUCACAAAUCCAGCGAUAAGGGGGCUGAGCAAGGCCUGCGCUCCUUUCACUGAUAAGGACAUGGUAGAGUAAGAAGACGCCGGGGAGUUGCUAUUCUGAUUUAUUUUUAGCAUCACUUGAGACUGAAAUCUGCUGAGAAAACCUGGAGGUACCAUUUUCCAGUUGUGUUAUCUAGUGCAAAGCCCCGGUGAUUAAGUUUGCUUGACAGUUUCAAAAAAACAGAACUUCCUUGAGAGAUACAGAGAUGGAAAUUCGAGGAAUAUUAACUUUCAGUGCAUUUGGGGGCAACAUAAACCCAUCCACCCUCCUACACAGAGGGCAGCCGUGGAAACGGGUAAAAGCACUGGGAAACUGUGUGGCUGUGGCUGUCAAAGCCGGACACCCCCGAUGACUGAGCAGUUCCAGGCAUAGGCAUGCACUCAGCAGAAAUGAGAGCUAUGUGGACCAGGAGACAGAAGAUGUCCAUUUCAUCAGAAACCCAGCCACCCUGGAGACAGCCCAGCAUCUCAUCAGCAGUAGAGGGAGACGUGCUGUACAGGACAAAGACAGCAUCAAUGCAACGUGGUGAAUCUCGGGAAUGCUGAGAGAAGGAAGCCAGACACAAAGGGCACAGGCUCUAUGACACCAACCUAUAUAAUAAAAAGGCAGUUGGCUGGCUUCAACCCACAGAAUUCUUCCUCCACUGGAAGGGAAGAGACGGUGCUUAACGAGUGCCCGCUGAAAGGUGGGCAUAGGUGGGUGCUUCUGUAGUCUCAUCUACUUUAAAACCACAGCAGGUAAGGGCCCUGGUGACCCCUCUCCCCUUACCUAGAAGGCCACCUAGGCACUCCAUCCUCACCUGCUUAUCUUCCUGCCCAGCACUAUCGCCACCUGAGCUGGUUCAGUUUUGUUCAUGGCCUGGCACAGAUCAGGCACUCAUAAGUACUGAAUGAAUGAAUGAAUGAAUGAAUGAAUAUGAUCCACUUUUUAAAGAAAAGGAAACUGAGGCUCACAAGACAAGUAACGUGCCCAAGAUCACACAUAUGGCAGAGAGCAGCAGGGAUUCAAUCCAGGUCUGCCGGACACCCAGAGCUCCUGUUCUUCCCGAUACGUCCGCCGCCUGCUUUCUAAGUAAACGGUUCCAGGUUAGCUGCUACCAAUGUCAAACAUGGGGAUGAAAUACCUUUCUGUGCACAAUAAGGAACUCUUCUCUGCAAGGCAUUCAGUUAUUCCUUCCCAUAAAAGAAGGCCCAAGAGGCUCUCUGAAAAAGAAGGCUGUCUUGACCUCCAAAAAUAAGACAUUCCCACCGCAUUAUUAGUAAGCAUGUCUGCCACGCAACAAAUCUAAAACUAGGUCUGACUUACAUUGCUGGAAGCUUCAGAAAAGAUAUUCCACACCUGCUCCAGAAUCAAUUCAUUAUGAACUUUUAAACUGUUCUUCAUCCAGUUCUAUAAGGAAAAAAAGGGGGGGGAAAUCCCAUUGGACAGGUAAACACAGCUGUCCCUGAUGGGCCCAUAUCCCCAGUCAGGGAAGCCAUCUCAAAUACAUACCUGAAAU